GAUGAACGCUGGCGGCGUGCCUAAUACAUGCAAGUCGAGCGAACAGGCGAUGAGCUUGCUCCUCUGACGUUAGCGGCGGACGGGUGAGUAACACGUGGAUAACCUACCUAUAAGACUGGUAUAACUUCGGGAAACCGGAUCUAAUACCGGAUAAUAUCUUGAACCGCAUGGUUCAAUAGUGAAAGACGGUUUUGCUGUCACUUAUAGAUGGAUCCGCGCCGCAUUAGCUAGUUGGUAAGGUAACGGCUUACCAAGGCGACGAUGCGUAGCCGACCUGAGAGGGUGAUCGGCCACACUGGAACUGAGACACGGUCCAGACUCCUACGGGAGGCAGCAGUAGGGAAUCUUCCGCAAUGGGCGGAAGCCUGACGGAGCAACGCCGCGUGAGUGAUGAAGGUCUUCGGAUCGUAAAACUCUGUUAUUAGGGAAGAACAAAUGUGUAAGUAACUAUGCACGUCUUGACGGUACCUAAUCAGAAAGCCACGGCUAACUACGUG
This 497-nucleotide ribosomal RNA is filed under the name uncultured bacterium. Its description in RNAcentral is "partial 16S ribosomal RNA". It matches the Rfam family "Bacterial small subunit ribosomal RNA", at positions 28 to 507 of the family's 1533-position model. The record is from RNAcentral.